Long non-coding RNA from Drosophila willistoni, 783 nucleotides. RefSeq lists it as uncharacterized. The record is from RefSeq and is a predicted model, not a curated record. The transcript is spliced from 3 exons. Lineage: Eukaryota; Metazoa; Arthropoda; Insecta; Diptera; Drosophilidae.
GCACAUGAAUUCGAUUUCAUUAUCGUUGUAUCAUUCUACGUAGGUUAACAACAUUUUUAAGCCAAAAUUUCAGUUAGUAAACUAAUAAAACAAAUUUUAGAAUUAUGACUACUCCGAAGUGCCAAAGCUAAAAACAAAUCGUCGGUCUAAAAAUUCCAAUAUGUCGCUAGAAUAACCCUCAAUGGAUUCCUAAACUGUUUACGUUAGUUUAAGGAACAAAAUUACGGCCUUUUGCCCCAGGAGACUGUCCGUGAAGGAGCAAAGGCUUGGAAUCUACUAACUUGCGCACAAAACAGAAAUUCAAUUAAUGGAAUUCAACCAAAAACCAAAGGCAUCGAAAAGGAAAUGUGAUUAAGAUGAGCCUUGUCCAUAUCCUAUUGUUGACAUGAAGAAAAGAUACUAAGAAUAAAAAAACUCCAGAGAAAACCGCUAAAAAAAGACGCCAGAAAACACGCCAUAAAAGACGCCAAAAAAGACGUCAUAAUAGACAUAUGUAAAAAAAGCUUCCCAUAAUGAAAUAUAAGUUUAAAACUCAGUUUUUAAAUCCAUUUUCAAAAUUCAUUGUUUGCCAAAUACUUAUUUUCCUGUAAUCAACAAAAAGGCUCGCCAAAUUGCAAUUUGGUAUGACCUCUUAAGAUCGUACUGGCAGCUUAAGAUCGCUAGCUAAAACAAAGAUAAUAAAAGAUUGGAAAAACAAACUUGGUCAUAACAAAGAGUAUCUAAGUAGACGCAAUGUCACAGUUGGUUCAUUACCUCGACUAGUUGAUCGACAUUCAUUAAGAA